GAUAAGUUGGAGAAAGAAGAGAGUUUGGAAAUGCCAUGAGGGUACUGCAUUCUGCAGAGUGUCCAAGAGGAAGAGAGAAAGGUUCACACAAGCAACAUUCAGAAGACUGGGAAGUUUCAGUCGCUCUGCAAUGGAAGAGGAUUAAGAUUAAUGUAGUUAUCCUGGACAUAUAGGAUGGCCUUGACGUGCAUUUGCUGAAACGAGGGAAGUCAGCAUGAAGAAGCUGUUUUAGUUAAGGUGACAGCAGAAUGCAGUUCCACUCCGGGACCUACUUCGAUGCUUGGUGCAAACAGAAAGAGAAAUAUACGGUAAUUUCUGGGUCUGCGUAUAAACAAGGAUAAUAACAGCUAUCAAAUAUAUCAAACAAGCAAUAUCACUGCCAAGUGAUAGUGAAUAGGACAUUGGCAUCACCAGUGACUGAUGAGGGGGACCUGAAUCGGUAAAUGCAUUUUCUGAGUUUAAAGAGGUGCAACUUCCAAUUAACUGAACAAGCAG
This is a long non-coding RNA of Protopterus annectens (West African lungfish), 495 nucleotides long. RefSeq lists it as uncharacterized. The record is from RefSeq and is a predicted model, not a curated record. The transcript is spliced from 4 exons. Lineage: Eukaryota; Metazoa; Chordata; Ceratodontiformes; Protopteridae.